Molecule: long non-coding RNA, 1194 nt
Organism: Aedes aegypti (yellow fever mosquito)
Lineage: Eukaryota; Metazoa; Arthropoda; Insecta; Diptera; Culicidae
Exons: 2
Source: RefSeq, a predicted model, not a curated record
CAAACAGCUGCAACCAAGUGAUUGCCACUACAUUGGGUAGAAUCACACGAAAUCGAUGUGACAUCACAUGCUUUUGAAAUGCGAUAUUAAAUCUUGCAACACUGCUCUGAUUUUGUUGUGUUCGGCCUUGCGAACGGCCAUUUUCAGUUUGCCGCAAACGAUGGAAGCUGUUUUUUGGAAAAUCAUUGACGGCGUUGUUUUUUAUUUCAAUGAGGUAAGAUAUGUGAGAAUCCUGGACCAUUUCUUGUCGAAAGUGCAUCUCGCGGAAUAAAAUUCUCUCCCGCAACUUUCGCGUGUUUCGUGGGACCAUUUCUUGAAAGUUGCUAACCGAUCGCAGAAGCAAUGAAGUGCCAAGUGCUGGGCGUGGAGCAAAGCGCCAACGACGUUGAAAUUAAGAAAGCGUACCGCAAGUUGGCCCUACGAUGGCACCCGGACAAGAACCUAGACAAUCUGGAGGAAGCGGAUCUGCAGUUUUUGCUGGUCCAGGCGACGCGACGUACUAUGUGCUGUCCGAUAUUUAGGAACGGGCCUGGGGAACGGGAGCAGAUUCUGCGCGGAGGACAUACAAAUUAUGAGAACAAUUCGUUGGAUAUGUUCUAGUAUUCAACGACUUCCUGCUACAAGGGUUUCGGGAUGAUUAGGGAGGAUUCUACGCCGUGUAUGGAGAAGUGUUCCAUACGAUAGCCUCGGAGGAGAUUGAGUUCGUGGGAGAACAAGCAGAAUUUUGAGGAUAUUUCGAAGUUCGGCAAUUCAAAGAACGACUACGAGACGGAAAGUUCGACUUUUCUACGAGAAGAACAAAAAGGUCCAGCAGAAGGCCAGAAAAGUAUGAAACGAAGACAUUCGUUCGCUGGUGUUCGUGAAAAAACGAGACAAGCGGGUGCAGGCCUAUAAGAAGCUGCUGGAGAAACAGGUCAAACAGGACAGGAUUAGGUCGCAGCAGAAUCGGCUGGAACAGAUCAGUCGGAAGCAGAAGGAGAUUGAGGAGCAGCAGAGGAAUUCGUCCAAUGUGUUCAACGAGGAUUAUGAGGAGCAGUUGUAAGGAUUAGGAUUGUAAGAUGUUCCUUUGCCAUAGUGGUUUUAUUUAUUUUUUUAGUUUUUAAUAACGUGGUGCCGUUAAUAUUGACGGUAUAGUUUGUUCAGAGAUGUUUUUUGGUAUGUAUAUUACAUGGUCUAAUCACUUAUCAAAGUGAA